AUUAACAUUUAUCUUCUGUGCUUUGUUUUUAGGGCAUUAGUGAAUCAGGGGAGGGUUUGUUCUCUUUCCUUCUUAUGUAUCAGAUUGUCAGGUUGUGUUGUCUGCAGAAGCAGCCUCGUGUUCACUGGAUUGCUUAUCACAGUGAGGGUGGAGGCCAUUGUGGUGGAGUGGGGGCCAUCAGAUGGACCUUGACCGUAAAUUCCUGA
This 206-nucleotide long non-coding RNA is filed under the name Gouania willdenowi (blunt-snouted clingfish). RNAcentral's name for it is "lncRNA (ENSGWIG00000010640.1)". Lineage: Eukaryota; Metazoa; Chordata; Actinopteri; Blenniiformes; Gobiesocidae. The record is from RNAcentral.